UACGAAGGGGGCUAGCGUUGCUCGGAAUUACUGGGCGUAAAGCGCCCGUAGGCGGAUUGUUAAGUCGGGGGUGAAAUCCUGGAGCUCAACUCCAGAACUGCCUUCGAUACUGGCGAUCUCGAGUUCGGGAGAGGUGAGUGGAACUGCGAGUGUAGAGGUGAAAUUCGUAGAUAUUCGCAAGAACACCAGUGGCGAAGGCGGCUCACUGGCCCGAUACCGACGCUGAGGUGCGAAAGCGUGGGGAGCAAACAGG
Molecule: ribosomal RNA, 253 nt
Filed under: uncultured bacterium
Lineage: Bacteria
Description: partial 16S ribosomal RNA
Rfam family: Bacterial small subunit ribosomal RNA
Source: RNAcentral